RNA transcript from Manis pentadactyla (Chinese pangolin), 2881 nucleotides. It is a transcript of the gene named oligodendrocyte transcription factor 2, with no coding region annotated. Lineage: Eukaryota; Metazoa; Chordata; Mammalia; Pholidota; Manidae. The record is from RefSeq and is a predicted model, not a curated record. The transcript is spliced from 4 exons.
UACUUCCCCCGCGAGCCCGACCUGCUCCUCCCCCUCGCCUCACCAUCUCCCUCCCUGGGUUCCUCCUCCAGGCCCUCCCCAAGAAUCUCCCGGCCACCGACGCCCAUUGGCUGUGAGCGGGGAGGAGGCGUGUGCCGCGCUGGGCGAGUUUCAUUGAGCGGAAUUAGCCCGGAUGACAUCAGCUUCCCACCCUCCCGGGCGCGCCCAGCUCAUUGGCGCGGCGGCCCCUCCAGGACCCGCACAUUGUUCCCCGCCCCCGCCUCGGCCACCGCCGCCGCGAUCGCCGCAGCCACCGGCCUAUAAAAACCGGCGAAGCCCGGAAAGGUGCGGAUGCUUAUUAUAGACGGACGCGGCAGCAGCGCCCAGAGCCGGGUUCUUCGCUGCAGCUUUUGGGAACGAGCUCCUAUAAUUGCAUCCACAGAUUCAAUGGAACAUCCCAGGAGACACCUCCUACCUGUUUCCAGCUGUGGAAUGGAUGCCCUGGGCCCAGGGCCUGGCCAGGGUCUGGUUGCUACCAGGUUUGGACCCUCAAAUUGAAAUAUAGCCUCCAUGAAGCAGAGACCUUUAUUCAUCUGAUCAAAAAUGUAGAACACUGCCCAGCACAUAUGAAUCAUGGAGGAGAGAGAGCGACCCCGCCCCCAAAACAGAACAAAACAAAACAAAACCCACUUUUUGCAACUACAAAGAAAGACUCCAGAGAAAUUCAUUUGGAAACAUGUAGCUGAGUGGAAUGCACCUGGCCUACUUCAAUGUCCAUCCCCUUUCCCCUACAAAGGAGAAGAAGACCCACAUUGGCCAUCAUCUCUGCUCUUCCCACCCCCACCUUGAAGCAGAGGCUCAGGCAGGUGGGGCUGGGCCAGCAGCUGGAGGCUCACAUGUCCUGGGAGAAGAGACAGGAGAGUCAGCCACUGUCUUUAUGUUUCCCCACCCUGGAGCCAGGCUGGGCUGCCAUGCUGCCCACUUCUACUCAAGGCCCCAGAGCUGGGCAGUGGACUCACUCAGCAAGUCUUCUUGGGAUGAAAGCACAGAGAGGACAGCACCUCGGAGAGUCAUCCCAGAUCCACUCAGAGGCAGAGAAGCACCCAACCACAGAAAGAGCCAGAGAGGACUACAGACCCCUAUGCUCUAACGUGCUGAAACACACAUUUGGUCUUCCAAGUCCAUCUAAGUGUCAUGGUGUUUGGGGAGCACUGGGAAGCUGGCAUGCACCCCAGCAUCUCCCCACCAGCUGUCCGUGCAGCUCAGCAUUCCUCCUGUUAACACCACUGCUUGGAUAGUGGUGGUGUGUCCAGAAAGCCCUGCACAAUCGUCAUUGCCUGGGAGGGAUAUGCAGUCCUACAAUGGCCAGCUAUAAAGUAUCAUCGAUGACUGGUCAGUCAAGUGGGGGCCAGAGAGCCUGGAACAGGUGAAUUCUACCUGGAAGGGAACCAGGGGAGGCCAGGAAGAAAGGAAGCAUGAGCCUAACAGGGCCAGGGUCAUGAAGGUCAGAAGUAAGUUUGAACAGGGACACUGAAGGGUGUAUGAGUUAGGACACAAGUGACCAAGAAAGCUCCAAGCCGGUGGCUUAGAAAAGUUAAAGUCUGAGGGAGGAGGGGUGACCCAGGGCUGGUCUGGAGGCUUGAUGGUAUUGAGGACCCAGUCGCUUCCCUCUUGUGGCCCUGCUGUCUUCAACACAUCCUCAUCUGUGGCCCAGAGGACAACUCCAACCAUAUUCUAGGAAACCAGAAUGGAGACCAGUGGGCCUUCUGCCUCCCUUAUACACAGAAGGUAUAUCUGUCACUUCUGCUCAUGCUCCAUGGGGUAGGACUUAGCCGUAUGGUCACAUCUAACUGCAGAAGAGGCAGAAAAAUGUGCCCUUCAUCUGGGUGGCUCUGUGCUAGUUGAAACUACUAUUACUAAUGGCAGGUGAGCAGUUACUGGAGGAAAUGAGCAGUCCACCUCACAUAGGGCUGACAAAAGCAGGCCCCACUCAAGCUGCCCGGCAGCCUCAGUGUCAGGCUUACCAUAUGCCCUCAACAAACAUUUGCUGUGGACCAAAAACAGGCUGAAAUCCUUUUUCUAAGGGAAAGGGCAUGAGUUUCUACAUGAGUGCUGUGGAAAAGAGAAAUUUUAAAUAAAAAUUGUAAAUUUCGAUAACACUUGCAGGUUUGUAGGGCCAUUUACAUUUACCUUCAUUGUCCCCUUUAAAAUGAGGAGCCAGUGAGAUGUACAUGAUCUCCACUUCACAGGCAAGGAGAUGGCAGCUCCUGGGCUUGGCAUGCUCACUAUAAAGGCAGAGCCCAGAGGUCUCUAAACGGCUCUCUUUACCCUACUAUGUGGACAGGACAAGCUCUGUCCCCACAGCUCCUGUCACUGAUAAACUAACCUGUUACAUGACCCCAUUUGAUAUGGGCCUUUGCUCAUGCCCAGCCAUUGGGAAAAUACCCCAUUUUUCCAAGAUCUAUUGCAGAUAAUCUCUGCAUGCUCAGUACCCUCACUGGAGUGGGUGCAGACUCAGCCAGACUCAGAUUCAACAGCCCAUCUGGAGCUCAUUGCAGGGCACAUCAUCUUCCAGCUUAUCCACAUGGCCUGUCACCAUGGAUAACAGCCUAGCCCUGAAAGCACAGCUUUGUUUGUGGAAUGUUAUAAAGGAAAAGGGGAAAAAAACCUAUAACCUACAUAAGGCACAUGGAGUCCAGUGGGAUCCAACCUCCUCAAACUCAAGAUGAUGGGCGCCGAAUGCAGACACUGACAACUGAGAUGUACGCGUAUCACCCAAGUGUAAGAACACGGCCAAGAUCAACAACGUUUGAAGGAGCUAUCCCACAAAAUUCACAUUCACCUAAAUCAUUGAUGACCUAGACUCUUUCUAGUUCCGCCUAAUAAAAAAUUUUAAAACAUG